Molecule: ribosomal RNA, 439 nt
Filed under: uncultured bacterium
Lineage: Bacteria
Description: partial 16S ribosomal RNA
Rfam family: Bacterial small subunit ribosomal RNA
Source: RNAcentral
CCUACGGGGGGCAGCAGUGGGGAAUAUUGCACAAUGGGCGAAAGCCUGAUGCAGCAACGCCGCGUGAGCGAUGAAGGCCUUCGGGUCGUAAAGCUCUGUCCUCAAGGAAGAUAAUGACGGUACUUGAGGAGGAAGCCCCGGCUAACUACGUGCCAGCAGCCGCGGUAAUACGUAGGGGGCUAGCGUUAUCCGGAAUUACUGGGCGUAAAGGGUGCGUAGGUGGUUUCUUAAGUCAGAGGUGAAAGGCUACGGCUCAACCGUAGUAAGCCGUUGAAACUGGCGGGCUGGAGUUGGAGAGAAGUACGCGGAAUGCGCGGUGUAGCGGUGAAAUGCUUAGAUAUCGCGCAGAACCCCGAUUGCGAAGGCAGCGUACCGGCUCCACACUGACGCUGAGGCACGAAAGCGUGGGUAUCGAACAGGAUUAGAUACCCCAGUAGUC